AUCCAUGGUGAAGUGUUUGUUUCCAACAGCCUUAAGAUGCUGAUCGCUCCUCUUCGCUGUUGUGGGCGUGGCUUCCAAAGCAGCCCGUUCUCCGAUUGGUCAAACAAAAGCCUGCUGUUCUGCUAUUGGUCCGUACUUGAGAGGACGUCGCGUACGUAUAAAAACGAAACUGUUUUCAUACGGCUCUGCACGUCCGUGCAUAAGAUUCUCGGAGCCAAUGGCUCCUGUUACACAAACAUGGCGGCCGGACCGAGCCAGUUUUCAUCGCUGUUGUCUAUGAAAACAAGUGAAAACAUAGGAGGGUAGCAGCAGCAGCACAACACCACCGUCACAUGAUUCGUAAAGCCAGGCUGCCCUUUUCUAAUAUGGUGGUCAGCUUGGCGGAGCUGCGUCUCCCAUUGAUCGUAUCACUCCUAUGCGGGUUCGCAACCUGCAGCCAGGAAGAACCGCAGGUUUUCGGGCUGCGCCUGGAGGACGCCAGCGAGCGGGUGUACAUGCGCGAACGGGUCGUCGUAGCUCCGCAAGGGUCCACUUUCAAGCUCAGAUUGUUUGGGACCUACCUGGCCAAAGAGAGCUGGCCGUGGGUCGCGUUCGCCCCCGCUGGAGGCGGUUCGGAUGACCCGUGCGCGCAGGAGGACCUCCGCAGGUCCGCUGCGUUCAGGGUGCUUGGAGAGUUCGGAUCGGACGAGGAGAAUAGCGGGCUCAUAGAGGUCCGAACCGAGAAUGCAUCAUCCAAAUCGGAGAAUAAGAAAGCAGAGCCUGUAUUCCAUCAUGUGUGUGUCUUAAAGGGCCAGGCAUGGAUGACGUUUGGGUUGGACAAGUUGCUUAUAAAGGACCCGGAUGCGCCAUCCGAUUACAUUCCACUUUGGGGGCUGGUUUUGGUUGUUGUGGUGCUGGUUUUCAUUUGCAGUGUGGUCAGAUGCUUGAAUCUGAGUUUGCUGUGGAUGGAUCCAUUGGAGCUGUAUGUUCUGCACAGCUGUGGUUCCGAAGACGAAAAGCGGUCAGCCAAGCGCCUUAAGCCAAUUAGGAGGCGAGGAAAUGUUCUGGUUUGCUCCCUGUUGUUCAUUUUUGCAUUGGGUCAUUCGGUGCUUGGUGUGCUGUUGUACCGCCUAUAUGGGUCCAUCUUACCUGCGGUGUUCACUAGUGGCUGCCUAAUAUUUGUUCUUGCAGAGUUGGUACCCCAUAUAAUAUGUUCUGGCUAUGGUUUCCAAAUGGCACCAGGUUUGAUAUGGCUGGCCCAGAUCUGUCUCAUUUUGACGUGUCCGCUCUCUUGUCCUCUUGGGCUCAUUUUGGACCUGGUCCUGCGCCGUGAUGUGAGCACCUGUGGCAUCCGUGAAAAAACCAUGGAAAUGAUUCGGACUAGUGUGAACGAUCCAUAUAACGAAUUUGUCAAGGUGGAGUUCAGCAAGGGUGCUCUCAGGACCAAAACUGUGGAGGAUAUCUUGACACCCUUGAAAGAUUGUUUCAUGCUGUCCUCCACGGCCGUGCUGGACUUCAGCACUAUGUCAGAGGUCAUGCAGAGCGGAUAUACUCGGGUCCCUGUGUAUGAAGAGGAAAGGUCCAAUAUUGUAGAGAUCCUGUAUGUGAAAGACCUGGCGUUGGUUGAUCCGGAAGAUCGCACCCCCAUGACCACCAUCACAAAGUUUUACAAUCAUCCACUGCAUUUUGUUUUUAAUGACACCAAGCUGGAUGCAAUGCUGGAGGAAUUCAAAAAAGGAAACUCCCACCUGGCCAUCGUUCAGAAGGUGAAUAAUGAAGGAGAAGGAGAUCCGUUCUAUGAGGUUCUCGGACUGGUCACGCUGGAGGACGUUAUUGAGGAGAUCAUUAAAUCUGAGAUCCUGGACGAGUCUGAUGGUUACAUGGACAUGAAGGUGAAACGUCCAAUAGCACCGCUGGAGAUUCCCCUGGAGCCCCGCAGCGUGCAUGAGGAGUUCUCUAUAUUUAAACCGCCAGAGGGCGAGCCGAAGAUACGCACCUCUCCUCAACUGCUGCUGGCCACCCACCGCUUCCUGUCCAGAGAGGUGGAACAUUUCUGCCCACAGCGUGUUUCGGAGAGAGUUUUAUUUCAUCUGCUGCGGCACCCGAGUGUCAACCAAGAAGUGAAGUUUGACUCCGGAAACCGACUUAGUCCAGAUCACUACCUCUACACACGGAAUCACCCUGUGGACUAUUUCAUUCUGCUGCUGCAGGGUCGUGUGGAGGUGGAGAUCGGGAAAGAGGGUUUAAAGUUUGAUAAUGGCGCUUUCACCUACUACGGCGUCUCGGCACUCACAGCUCCCUCCUCAGUCCACCAGUCUCCGGUCUCAACACAGCGUCAGUCCCCCAGAGACCCCUUUAUGCUGGCUGAUGCCACCAGCCCGUCCAGCUACUGUCCCGACUACACAGUUCGAGCCCUCACGGACCUGCAGUUUAUCAAGGUGACCCGUUUGCAGUACCUCAACGCUUUGAUGGCCUCCCGGGUGGCACAGAGUCCCGAGCCCCCUGAAAUAAAGAUCCUGCCCAACAGUCAAACAAAACUCCUGAAUGAAAAAAACACUAUGCAAGAGUUUCAGCUUCACUUUUCAUUCUUUGACGCAAUUGACAACUACUGUUAGUGUUCUUUGCAUGAGUAGGUGGUGAUAUGCACGAAGAAUUCGAAAUCGAAGAAUCUGCAAAAAUCAUAUCACUUCAGAAGAUAUGAAUUUAACCACUGGAGUCGUAUGGAUUACUUUUAUGCUGCUUUUAUGUGCGUUUUGGUCAAAGUUCACUUGCAUUGUUUGGACCGACAGAGCUGAAAAUGUUCAGCAGGAGAAAGAAAGUCAUACACAUCUGGGAUGGCAUGAGGGUGCGAGCAAGAGCCAGGAAUCUAGGUCAGAGGAGGAGCCGCACAGCCAGAGAGGAGCUUUUUGACCUUCGAGCUAACCUUACUCCAGAACUCAUGAGGAUUUUAUGAUGACAACUAACUUGUUUUUUGUCUUAAAGGGAUAGUUCAACCAAAAAAAUAAAAAACUCUAGCAUUUACGCACCUUCAUGUUGUUCCAAAUCUUGCAUGGAACACACACGAAAAAAGGACAUUUUAGGCAAUUUACUUCACUGUAUGGAAAAAAGAUACAAUGAAAGUGAAUGGUGACUGAGACUAACAUUCUGCCUAACAUCUCCCUUUGUGUUGCACUUAUUUGCAGGAAACUGAUUUUGAUGUGGAAAGUUGGAAUUUUUCACUUUACAGACUUGGUCUCGCAGUGUUAUUACAUAUGUUUUAGAUGCAGGGACAUGCUCCCCUCAUAUUUAAUAAAUGUCUACUUUGGUCCCAUAGAUAAUCAUGCUUUUUUUAAAGACCCAUGCCUUAAUGUUUUGUACCUACGCCCCCUUGGGGAAGUUUCAAAACAUCCUAAAAGCAUAAUUUUGAAGGUGACAUAAAAAAGUAGCCAUGCUUAUUGCUGGAACCUGGUCUCAUAAAAUCACGGUACUAUGCCUAUAUCUUGCCAUAUGUAUUUUUACGUGGCUCGUUGUAAAAUGAACACUAGAGGAACUUAAACAACCGCUUUUGUUCACUUUCACAAAAAUCAGGAGUAUAACAGCAUGUGGCUUAGCUUAUAUCACAUUGCACUUGUGAUGCAAAGGAUUGGGAUACAAGUCCGGAAGAGCAUGCGAGUCGGCACGUGAGCUGAAAGUGUCAUAGAAGCACCAAAAAAUGACUCGGUUGCUUCAGAAAUUGUGUUUUUCAUCUCACUGUUGCUUUUAUGACACUAUCGGUAAGGUUUAGGUUUCAGGUUUAGGGUAGGGAGCUCGGUUUUGUUGGCUUAAAACUCCAUAGAGCAUUAACCUUAACAUUUAACAAACUUUUAGCGCCACACAGUGGAUAUUUCAUAUUUAGGAAUGCCACGAUACGUAACGUAAUUUUGCAAAAAAGUCGCCACAGUUGCACAAUUUGGAUUUCCGAGUGCAAUCCAAAACCCGUCCAGUUUUGCGAGACAUAUGCGAGGGCAUUGACGUUUGCACAUUGAUAUGUUCAGUACGAUUAAGUCUACGAUCUUGUUAUUCUCUAUAUCAUGUGGUACGUCCGAAACAACCAUGCCUCCUUGUUAGAAUAUUCACAGCAUGCCUGCAUUUUGAUUCACUAUUUGAGAAACAUUUCAAUAUUUGGUGCCUAAAUCUGCAUGACUGUCGCUAUCUAGCUAACCAUAUAAGCGUAAAAUAUCGCAAACCUUUUCCAUACCAACGCAGACAGCCCAUUCCAUUGAUAUAGUCUGGAAAAUACAUCUUAGCAAUACUGAAAAUCCCAGUAUUGAAGGUUGUGUCAUAUUUAUAAGAUGGCAUAUAUGGGUAAUAAAGCCUAGAAGCUACUCUACUCAAGUUUAAACAUUCUUAGUAGCUUUUUUGAGUUUUUAAAGUACAUUCCAGCCUACUUUGUAUCUGAACAAGAAAUUAAAGCCUUCCUUUUUUCUGUUAUAUUGAUGCCUGAUUCAGAGAGUCCUGUAACGUUUUUAUUUUUAAAGGAAUAUUUCGGAUUUAAUAUAAGUUUAGCACAACUGACAGCAUUUGUGGCAUAAUGUUGAUUUCCACAAAAUUAAUUGAAUUCAUCUAGACUUUUCCCUCCGUUCCAUUAAAAAAAAAUUAAAGAUCUGGGUCACAGUGAAGCACUUACAAUUGCAGUGAAUGGGGCCAAUCCAUAAUCGUUAAAAUACGCACCGUUUCAAAAGUAUAGCCACAACACAUAAACAACAUGCAAGCUAACAUGAUUUUAGUGUGAUAAAAUCGCUAACUAACCUUUUCUGUGUAAAUUCAUAUUUAUCUUUACAUCGUCGUUGCCAUUACGACAUAGCUGCGUAAACACUAAAAAGACUAAAACGAUGAUUUAAACAGAUUUACAGCUCAAAUAUUACCCGAGUUUAAACAGAAAAAUUAAAGUAAGUGCUUUUAUCAAAUUUGAAGCUUCACAUUUCUGCCUUUAAACCUUCCAAAACUGGCCCCAUUCACUUCCAUUGUAAGUGCCUCACUGUAACCUCGAUUUUUGCUUUUUUUUUUUUUUAAAGAAAAGGAGGAACGAGUCAAAAUAAUUUUUCACGAUAAAUCAACAUUAUGCCACAAAUUCAGUCGAGUGGGCUUAACAUGUAUUGAACCCAGAAUAUUCUUUAAAGCAGUUGCAUGCAUUUGUGCUUAUAACCCAUCAGCUAACGUUAACGAUUAUCUAAAAAUGACCAUUUACUGCAAGAACAGUGUGUGAACCCAAGUAAAUAUUUUUUUCUGCUGUUGAAAUAAGUUGUACUGUUUGUUUUGUUGUAAAAGUCAUUUUCUAUGGUACUAAAUGAAUGAAUGUUUAUUAUUUUUUUUAAACAAAUCCCUUCUUUAUUUUACUGUAUUUAUAAUUUUUGGAUAGGUUAGAGAUGACUGUAAAUUAAUAUACAAUUUCUAAAUCAUAGAUGUUGUAAAUUCAGAACAGUUGCUGGCAGAUAUCAGUUCUUCAGGUACAAACGUAUACGUGACCAGGGAUUAAUAUAGACUUUACUUCUGAUCAGCCAUUUUUGGUAGGUAAGAUUUAAAUCUUCUCUGUAUUGUUCACAAGCCAUUGAAUGCACUUGAUAUCAACUGUUUCAUAGGAAAUAAAGACAA
RNA transcript from Xyrauchen texanus (razorback sucker), 5589 nucleotides. It is a transcript of the gene named metal transporter CNNM3-like, with no coding region annotated. NCBI's taxonomy places the organism in Eukaryota, Metazoa, Chordata, Actinopteri, Cypriniformes, Catostomidae. The record is from RefSeq and is a predicted model, not a curated record. The transcript is spliced from 10 exons.